GACGAACGCUGGCGGCGUGCCUAACACAUGCAAGUCGAACGGAAAGACCCUAAUUUUGUGGGGUUCUCGAGUGGGGAACGGGUGAGUGACACAUGUGUAACCUGCCCCUGAAUGUGGGGGAACAUCUGGAGACAGCGGCUAAUACCGCAGAGGAUCUCCUGCUGCACAGUGGGGGUUAGAAAGUGGCGGCUGUUGGGGAUGGAUUGGCUGCUUAUCAGCUUGAUUGGGGGGUAGUGGCGUUCCAAGGCUUUGACGGGUAGGCCGCCUGAGAGGGUGACCGGCCACAUGGGGACUGAGGUACGGCACAGAAGCGUACGGGAGGCAACAGUGGGGAAUAUUGCAGAAUGGGCGCAAGCCAGAUGCAGAAACGCUGCGUGCGGGAAGAUGGCUUUCGGGUUGAAAACAGCUUUCGACUUAAACGAAGCGUGCGUGACGGUAACGGGUAAAAAAGCCACGGCUAACUACGUG
Molecule: ribosomal RNA, 468 nt
Filed under: uncultured bacterium
Lineage: Bacteria
Description: partial 16S ribosomal RNA
Rfam family: Bacterial small subunit ribosomal RNA
Source: RNAcentral